This 664-nucleotide ribosomal RNA is filed under the name uncultured bacterium. RNAcentral's name for it is "bacterial SSU rRNA". It matches the Rfam family "Bacterial small subunit ribosomal RNA", at positions 56 to 719 of the family's 1533-position model. The record is from RNAcentral.
UGCAGUCGACGGGCUUGGGGGCUUGCUCCCGGGUUAGUGGCGAACGGGUGAGUAAUAUAUCGGAACAUAUCCGGAAGUGGGGGAUAACGUAGCGAAAGUUACGCUAAUACCGCAUAUGCCCUGAGGGGGAAAGGGGGGGAUCGCAAGACCUCUCGCUUUCGGAGUGGCCGAUACCGGAUUAGCUAGAUGGUGAGGUAAAGGCUCACCAUGGCGACGAUCCGUAGCGGGUCUGAGAGGACGACCCGCCACACUGGAACUGAGACACGGUCCAGACUCCUACGGGAGGCAGCAGUGGGGAAUUUUGGACAAUGGGCGCAAGCCUGAUCCAGCCAUACCGCGUGAGUGAAGAAGGCCUUCGGGUUGUAAAGCUCUUUCAGCCGGAAAGAAAUUGCUUCUAUUAAUACUAGGGGUAGAUGACGGUACCGGAAGAAGAAGCACCGGCUAACUACGUGCCAGCAGCCGCGGUAAUACGUAGGGUGCGAGCGUUAAUCGGAAUUACUGGGCGUAAAGCGUGCGCAGGCGGUUUGGUAAGACAGAUGUGAAAUCCCCGGGCUUAACCUGGGAACUGCAUUUGUGACUGCCAGACUAGAGUGUAGCAGAGGGGGGUAGAAUUCCACGUGUAGCAGUGAAAUGCGUAGAGAUGUGGAGGAAUACCGAUGGCGAA